CCGCCAAGUAUAGGAUAAAUUAGAUACAUACCAUUUAAAGUAUCACGGUUUAGAAAAUAUAUACCAUUACUAUUUAUAAUAUUAGAAACAUGUCAAUAUAAUUUCACAUAUUUCUAAACUAAAUUGACUUCAUCUAAACUAAAUUGGCUUCAUCUUCUUCUUUUUGUCCCUUUUUUUUUUCUAUUUCACCCCUGCAGCGGCCCACUGACUGGUUUCACAGUUGCGGCUUUGUUUAGUUCACCCUAAAAACCUAAAAUUUUUCAAGAUUCCCUGUCACAUCGAUUUUUACGGCACAUGCAUGAAGCACUAAAUAUAGACGAAAAUAAAAACUAAUUGCACAGUUUACCUGUAAAUCGCGAGAUGAAUCUUUUAAGCCUAGUUACUCUAUGAUUGGACAAUGUUUGUCAAAUAAAAACAAAAAUACUAUAGUUCUGAAAACCAAAAAAAUUUCGAAACUAAACAAGGCCUGCCAUGGUAUGCUGACCGGCAUAGUACCCGCGCACGUGAAGAUGGCUGC
RNAcentral lists this long non-coding RNA (517 nucleotides) under Sorghum bicolor (sorghum). RNAcentral's name for it is "long non-coding RNA (SBIC_LNC011187)". The record is from RNAcentral. Lineage: Eukaryota; Viridiplantae; Streptophyta; Magnoliopsida; Poales; Poaceae.